GUUUGGGACAACGACAGUCUUUUACUGGCUAGCUGCACUUGUUCUUUCUAAACCAGUAAUUCCAGAUUUAGAGUCUCAACACUUUGUCACUUUUUAUUUGUGACUCCUAAAGGAAUGCCCAAGGGGAAUUUGAUUUCAGAAGUGACGCUCACAGCUGGAACAGAAGUGAGGGCUUGCAAGUGAGGGAUUAUGACUAAAAAUGGGGUUGUGGUUCCAUAAACACCAUUAGCAGGUGUUCUUCUUCCAUAUUGCUACUUUUCAGACACAGAAACAGCUCCUAUUUCAGCUAAUUGUCUUUCAGAAGUAUAUUUUGAGAAACGAAACCAAGCCUAUGAUCAAGGAUGCACAGAAUCGAAAGCCACUCUCUCCUCACAGCUCAGAUGUGAAAUCAAUUCCCCCGCAACAUGGACUUGUCAAGUUUAGCUAAAUACUCUUCCAGAAAUUCAUUGCUCGAAGUCACUCUCAUCAGGAAAUCAAACCUUCUUAAAAGUAGUUCCUAUUUGGACUGCUUUUGGCUGUUUCACUGUGCCAAUGACAUUCAUUACAACCAACCACAGUUACCAGAAAAAUAG
This 572-nucleotide long non-coding RNA is filed under the name Struthio camelus australis. RNAcentral describes it as "lncRNA (ENSSCUG00000008588.1)". Lineage: Eukaryota; Metazoa; Chordata; Aves; Struthioniformes; Struthionidae. The record is from RNAcentral.